GACGAACGCUGGCGGCGUGCUUAACACAUGCAAGUCGAACGGAAAGGCCCUGCUUGCCGGGUACUCGAGUGGCGAACGGGUGAGUAACACGUGGGUGAUCUGCCCUGCACUUCGGGAUAAGCCUGGGAAACUGGGUCUAAUACCGGAUAGGAGCCAUUUUUAGUGUGAUGGUUGGAAAGUUUUUUCGGUGUAGGAUGAGCUCGCAGCCUAUCAGCUUGUUGGUGGGGUAAUGGCCUACCAAGGCGGCGACGGGUAGCCGGCCUGAGUGGGUGGACGGCCACAUUGGGACUGAGAUACGGCCCAGACUCCUACGGGAGGCAGCAGUGGGGAAUAUUGCACAAGGGGCGCAAGCCUGAUGCAGCGACGCCGCGGGGGGGAUGACGGCCUUCGGGUUGUAAACUCCUUUCGCUAGGGACGAAGCUUUUUGUGACGGUACCUAGAGAAGAAGCACCGGCUAACUACGUG
RNAcentral lists this ribosomal RNA (465 nucleotides) under uncultured bacterium. RNAcentral's name for it is "partial 16S ribosomal RNA". It matches the Rfam family "Bacterial small subunit ribosomal RNA", at positions 28 to 507 of the family's 1533-position model. The record is from RNAcentral.